RNAcentral lists this ribosomal RNA (497 nucleotides) under uncultured bacterium. RNAcentral describes it as "partial 16S ribosomal RNA". It matches the Rfam family "Bacterial small subunit ribosomal RNA", at positions 28 to 507 of the family's 1533-position model. The record is from RNAcentral.
GAUGAACGCUGGCGGCGUGCCUAAUACAUGCAAGUCGAGCGAACAGACGAGGAGCUUGCUCCUCUGACGUUAGCGGCGGACGGGUGAGUAACACGUGGAUAACCUACCUAUAAGACUGGGAUAACUUCGGGAAACCGGAGCUAAUACCGGAUAAUAUAUUGAACCGCAUGGUUCAAUAGUGAAAGACGGUUUUGCUGUCACUUAUAGAUGGAUCCGCGCCGCAUUAGCUAGUUGGUAAGGUAACGGCUUACCAAGGCAACGAUGCGUAGCCGACCUGAGAGGGUGAUCAGCCACACUGGAACUGAGACACGGUCCAGACUCCUACGGGAGGCAGCAGGAGGGAAUCUUCCGCAAUUGGCGAAAGCCUGACGGAGCAACGCCGCGUGAGUGAUGAAGGUCUUCGGAUCGUAAAACUCUGUUAUUAGGGAAGAACAAAUGUGUAAGUAACUAUGCACGUCUUGACGGUACCUAAUCAGAAAGCCACGGCUAACUACGUG